GACGUAGGGGGCCAGCGUUGUUCGGAAUUACUGGGUGUAAAGGGUUCGUAGGCGGUGUAGCAAGUCGGGAGUGAAAUCUCUGGGCUUAACCCAGAGGCUGCUUCCGAAGCUGCUGUGCUUGAGUGUGGGAGAGGCGCGUGGAAUUGCAGGUGUAGCGGUGAAAUGCGUAGAUAUCUGCAGGAACACCCGUGGCGAAAGCGGCGCGCUGGACCACUACUGACGCUGAGGAACGAAAGCUAGGGGAGCAAACAGG
This 253-nucleotide ribosomal RNA is filed under the name uncultured bacterium. RNAcentral describes it as "partial 16S ribosomal RNA". It matches the Rfam family "Bacterial small subunit ribosomal RNA", at positions 524 to 776 of the family's 1533-position model. The record is from RNAcentral.